RNAcentral lists this long non-coding RNA (5375 nucleotides) under Homo sapiens (human). RNAcentral describes it as "non-protein coding lnc-BTBD10-7:2". The record is from RNAcentral. Lineage: Eukaryota; Metazoa; Chordata; Mammalia; Primates; Hominidae.
AACGGAUACUUAGUAUUUCUAGAAGGCAUUUCCACCCCGAGGACUGCAAGUGUUCUCACGUUCUUUGCGUUCAUCAUGACCUCCAAGUGUCCCACUGGAGCUGUCAUUCCCGUAGUUCCAAAGAGAAUACUCGAGCGCGGAGCGAUUCCAUUGCAUUUCCUUCCAGUAGCCAGGUUUUGACCACUUACUGAAGAGUAGACACCAGCCCCGCGGCAGCGCUCUCUGCUGCAAAAAGCUGUCUACGGAGCAAGACGGAAGGAAACAGUUACAGAAAAUAAAAAUUUGAUAACGACAUGCGACUCGGUUGCUGAGAGGACAGAGAAAGUGACUUAUUUUUGCAUCUCAGGCACUUUGUAGAGGGCCUUUAGCACAAAGAACUCCCGGCUCUUCCAGAUGUUAAACUCCCUGAAUAGAAGGACAGCGUCUUCUUUUUCGUUAUCCAUCAUGUCAGCUCUCCUUUAGCGCCUGCUGGGGUAGGGUGGAGUGGUGGGGGCGGGGCUGGCACCCAACAAGUGCACCAUAAAUAUCUGUUGGCUGGAUACAUGAACAAAUGGAAUUAAAUAAAUUGGCCUAAUUCUGUUACCCAGACUGGCCCCCGUGACUCUAGACUUCUAGCCUGGUAAGUUCCUUGAACACAGACACUGCGUUUUUUAAUCUCUGUAACACCAUUGCCCAUCCCCAGCUCAUUGACAGGCACGGAGUGCCCAAUAUGUGCUUGUGGUCUGAAUGCUGACUGUUUUCGAGGUCAAGCAAUUCCGUCGGUAGCUUGCUAUUUUUCCGAAGUUUACACGCAGGUGGAAUCUUAUUGCUCCUUUGUCUCUGCCCCCAUUUCAUGAGGAGAUCACUCUAGGUAAGUGGGACUUAAGCGAAGCACUUGACAAGAUAUCAUAGACAAGAUGAAGAAAUAUGGGCUGGAUGCUAGUAUCAUUAAUUGGACUAAUAACUGGUUAAGUAACCAUAACCUAAAGAUGCUGAUUGAUGAGUCGACGUUGACCGAAAAGAAGAUUGCAGGGAGUCAGCAUUCCAGCAGCACCUACUACGUACCAGACACUGUGCUAAGUACUUUCCCCUCAUGUUCUCCCUUAAUCUUUAUAACCACACUGUGAGGAAGCUUUUAUUGCCCCAUUUUACAGAUGGGGAAACUGAAACUCAGAAUUUAGCUAGCUGGCCAAAGGUCACACAGUAGGUGGCAGAGCCGUGAUUCAAACUAGACUUUUUCUUUUUAUUUCAAAGCCUCUAUACCACACCAGUUACCCUCAGAAUGACAGAAGCCUCUCUCCCAGGUCCAGACAUCAGAACUUUUAUCAGUGUUCUGAAGGAAAAUCCAGAAGAUUCGCAUCACAUGUCCAGAUGACACAAAGCCAGGAGGGGAAGAGACGCUGUUACACAAACCACAUACAAUAUUGGAGCAGUGGGCUGACUCUAACAGGGGUAAAUGUGGAGUCCCACCCUGUGUGAAGCCAGCCGGAGGCAGAGGUGUCUUAGAUGCUUACAGGAGCAAGAUAAAGGGUCUUAGGUGACAAAUAAUCUGAGUCCACAGUGAAUUGUGGCUGCCAAAAUAAAUAAACGCUCUUAGGCUGCAUCAGUGGAAGUCUGACAUGUAAAGCAAGAUAGGUGUUAUUGUGCUGCCCAGUGUUGGUCAGUACCCACAUGAAGUAUUGUCUGCAAUUAAGACUUGGCAGAAAGAAAUUAUCUACAUGCACAAGUAGAGGGACCAGGAUGUAAAGAGGCUAGAAACUAUGUCAUAUGAGGAAAUAUUAAAGGAAGCAGAAGGUUUUGCCCCAGGGGUACAAGGUAACUGUCUUGAUAUAUGUGAAGAACUGUCAAAUAGAAGAGAAAUUAAACUUAUACUUAAGGGCCUUAAGGGGUUGAAGGAGAACCUGUGGGUAGAAACUCUAGAAUGAAUCAAUAUGAACAAUUUUCUAACAGCUAGAGCAUCCUCUGCCUUGAUUAAUUGAGUUUCUUGUCACAAAAAAUGUCCAAGUGAGAAUUGGAUUACCAUGCAGUGGGAGGCGGGCUGAAAUAGGUGUCUUUGUGGACUCCCUUCCUCUGAGAUUCUCAUCUUGUACCCUGGCUUUCCUCUUUUAAAGGUUAUCACCCUGCCUUAUCCUACCCUCAGUGGCCAAGCAACUGUCUUCCCUCAUGUGCACCUGUUUUUCCCUGUGUAAUUACACCUUUCUUUGUGGUUCUCUCUGUUGGAGAUCCCAAACACCUCCUUCCACUACUACCUAACUUCCCUUUUCUUUUCUACUUUCCAGGAUACUGAACUUUCAAUUCAUAGGGCACUGCUAAGGUCAAAAUAUUGUCCUCAAUGUAAAUUUUACUGGGCAUGAGUAGAAUCAUGUGGAUAAAAGGAAGAUAAGAGAGAGCAUUUAUUUGCACCUACUGUGUACCAGAUGCUUUAAAUACAUUAUUUAAUAUAAUCCUCACGUUAACCCUAGCAGUUGAUAUGCUUGCCCUCCACACUUGCUAGCUGGAUGACUUUUAUCAAAUUGCUUAACCUCUUUGUACCUCAGUUUCCUCAUCUGUAAAAGGGGGAUAAUCUAGUGUCUACUUCAUAGGGCUGUUAUAAGAGUUCAAUGUGAUGAUAGAUGGAAAGCCCUUAACACAGUGCCUGGCAUACAGUCAAGAUGUGAUACAUAUUAGGUAUCACUCUUAACAAUUCUAUGAAAUAGAUAUUUCUUGCUCCUGUUUUACAGAUGAAGUUAGUGAGGAUAAAGUAGUAUAAUCUACAGUAGUUUCCCUGACUCUGAUCCAAUGAUUGGAUCCAUUAGAAUUACCUGGGGAGUUUUAAAAAAUACAGACUUCAGAGUCCUGUUCUGGAAGAUUCUGAUUGCGUUUCUUUGGGAUUUGACAUUUGUGAAUGGUUUGAUCUGUUAACCAAGGUUGACAUCUGGGUGUACAAAAAAUGGGAAUUAAAAAAAAAAUCAGGCAUUAAUGAGUUAACCAGUGUUUAUAGCUUUUUCAGCUGCUUUUGAAAAGACCUUCCUUGGCUCUUUUUUUAAUGGGAUGGCCAUAGCAGCUCAGAAUGGGAGAGCAGUAAUACCUCAUUUGGAAUGUGUCCUAGACUGUGUAAUUAGGCUUUAGACUAGAUCUUGCUUGCAGACAUGGCCAAGAUUCCAAAGAUCUUGGUGCUCAGAUGUGAAAGGGGCUUUUCCGUUUGGCUAGAGGAAGCUAAAGCACCAGUGGCCACAUGGCUUCUCAACAGAAGCUCUGAAGAACAGAUAGACACUGUCUUCAAAAAACUGGCAUCAAUUUUGCCCAGCUUCACUGGGAUGAGCAGACUAGAGUUCACUUUCUGGAGAAUAUAAAAGAAAGGAAGAAUCCAUUCUAGUUAGUAUAGCAAAGUGAAGUGUUCAGGCAAGCCAUUUCAGAAAUGCAUUAGCUCAAAAAAAUUUACAAUAUGCUUUUGAAAAAGGAAAGAAGGGAUAGACUGGGGAAUUUGAUCUCAUACAUUAUCAAAGUGUACUAUUAAACUAUAGUAAUAAAAUAGUCUGGUAUUGGUAUAGAAACAGACCAAUAGACGAAUUAAAAGGCAUAGCAUCCAGAAAUAGACCCAAAGUAUAGGAAAAUUGAGUUAUAAAGUGAAUUUUAAAGGAUUGGGAAGAAGAUGGAUUUUUCAAUAAAUGCUAUUGAAACAACUAGCUAGCCAUAGGGAAACACAUAAAAUUUGCCCCCUACCCUGUACUUACAUUAAAACAUAAACCAUAGGAAAAGAGAAUUUAAGUGCAUGUAGUCAAACCUAUAAAAACACUAGAAAAAAAUAUGAGUAGAAGUUCUAUAAUCUUAAAAGGCCCAUCUAAGCAUAACACAAAAUCCAGAGGCCAUGAAAAUAAAGGUGGAUUUCAUACAUGCACACACACACACUCUCCAUAUAAACGAAAUAAAGGAACAACUAGCAUGCAGGCCCCACACCACAUUAUUAAUGCACCAUAUACACAUUCCAGUUAAUAAGUCAGCAGCUGGCGUGGUGAGAUGUAAGCAGUGAUGUCAUUUAACCUGUCAUUGAUAGAAUUACUCCUUAUAAAGAGCUACUCCUUGUAACAUUGUCUUACUUCAUUGGCCCUCUCUUUCUCGUUUGGUAUUUUAAAAAUAAAAGUUUAUAAUCACCAAGCACGAUCUCCAGCAUCAAAGGUUGUUUAGAUCCUCUGCAGUGAGCUCUGGGUCCUUUGCUCCACUCAUAUAAAAGCUACAGACUCAGAAUUUACCUAAGGAAAACUCUCAUCCUGCAUACAGAUGUGUGUGCAUUGUAAGAAUGACUGCUACUCAAAUCUCUCCUUUCUCUUUGGAAGAACAAGAACAUCUAUUGCUUUUUUUUUAGAUUAUGAAACCAAUUUACAUUUGUGAUCAAAAAUUUGGAAAGCACACACAUAAAGAAGAAAAUAAAAAUAAUCUAUAAUUCCAUUAAGCGGAUAUAACCCACAUUAAAAUAUCAAUGUAUUUUUUCUGUAACUAUAUCCUAUUUUGACCUAAUUUUUUUCUUUUUCAGAGACAGAGUCUUGCUAUGCUGCCCAGGCUGGACUCGAACUUCUAGACUCGAGCAAUUCUCAUGCCUCAGCCUCCCAAGUGGCUGAGACUAUAGGCAUGCCACCACACCCAGCUCUUUUGAUGUAAUUUUUAUCCCAUCAAAGUUUUGUCAUCUUGCUUUUAAAAAAUUAUCACAUGCAUUCUCUCUUGUUAUUGAGCCUCCUUCUACAACUGGCUGUCUAAUGGCUGCAGCAUUUUUAUUGUAUGGAGAAACUAUACCUCAUGCAAAACUCUCUCAUUGAAAGCGUUCACAUAGUUCCUAAUGUUUCUUUAUUAUACAGAUGGCCCUGGGCUCACAGUGGUUUGAGUUACGAUUUUUCUAGUUUAUGAUUGGCAUAUUGGGAUAUUAAAUGUAUUUUCAACUUUCAAUAUUUUUGACUUGCCAUGGGUUUUUCGGGACAUAACCCCAUCGUAAGUUGAGGCUCAUCUGUAAACAGUUUUGAAAAGAACAUCCUUUGGGAUUUUUAAACCUCAGGGCCCUCUGGAAGCUGUAGGCUAAUGGGACUGGCCCACAGCUUUCCUACUCUACUUCAUUACCACACUGGGUUUCAAAGAAUCAGCUGGUAUAGACAGGAAAUACAACUUACAUAUUUUUUUCUUAUAAGGUUUCAAUGUUAUCUCCUCCUGCUGCUGCUUCUCUCUCUGCCAUAAAACUUAUUUUAAAGACAUGGAAAAUUAUAUGCACUUGAGUUAAAUACAAAACCACAAGUGACUAUAGCUUGAUAAGUGGUCUUUGGGAAAUUUAUGAGCCAAAAUCUGUGUCAUAAAUUGAUAGCACUCCAGCUAACAAAAGAUUGACAAUAAAACUUACUGUAAAUAAAACCAUCUAAAUCUUGAGUAUGAAUAAA